GAUGAACGCUAGCGGCAGGCUUAACACAUGCAAGUCGAGGGGUAGAGGAAGCUUGCUUCCUUGAGACCGGCGCACGGGUGCGUAACGCGUAUACAAUCUACCUUUUACAGAGGGAUAGCCCCAGAGAAAUUUGGAUUAAUACCUCAUAGUAUUUUCGGAUCGCAUGAUUUGAUUAUUAAAGUUCCAACGGUAAAGAUGAGUAUGCGUCCCAUUAGCUAGAUGGUAAGGUAACGGCUUACCAUGGCAAUGAUGGGUAGGGGUCCUGAGAGGGAGAUCCCCCCACACUGGUACUGAGACACGGACCAGACUCCUACGGGAGGCAGCAGUGAGGAAUAUUGGACAAUGGGCGCAAGCCUGAUCCAGCCAUGCCGCGUGCAGGAAUAAGGUCCUAUGGAUUGUAAACUGCUUUUAUACAGGAAGAACACACCCUCGUGAGGGUACUUGACGGUACUGUAUGAAUAAGGACCGGCUAACUCCGUGCCAGCAGCCGCGGUAAAG
This 498-nucleotide ribosomal RNA is filed under the name uncultured bacterium. Its description in RNAcentral is "bacterial SSU rRNA". It matches the Rfam family "Bacterial small subunit ribosomal RNA", at positions 28 to 525 of the family's 1533-position model. The record is from RNAcentral.